This 484-nucleotide ribosomal RNA is filed under the name uncultured bacterium. RNAcentral describes it as "partial 16S ribosomal RNA". It matches the Rfam family "Bacterial small subunit ribosomal RNA", at positions 30 to 507 of the family's 1533-position model. The record is from RNAcentral.
AUUGAACGCUGGCGGCAGGCCUAACACAUGCAAGUCGAGCGGAUGAAGGGAGCUUGCUCCUGGAUUCAGCGGCGGACGGGCGAGUAAUGACUAGGAAUCUGACUGGUAGUGGGGGAUAACGUCAGGAAACGGGCGCUAAUACCGCAUACGUCCUGAGGGAGAAAGGGAGGGAUCUUCGGACCUCACGCUAUCAGAUGAGCCUAAGUCGGAUUAGCUAGUUGGUGGGGUAAAGGCCUACCAAGGCGACGAUCCGUAACUGGUCUGAGAGGAUGAUCAGUCACACUGGAACUGAGACACGGUCCAGACUCCUACGGGAGGCAGCAGUGGGGAAUAUUGGACAAUGGGCGAAAGCCUGAUCCAGCCAUGCCGCGUGUGUGAAGAAGGUCUUCGGAUUGUAAAGCACUUUAAGUUGGGAGGAAGGGCAGUAAGUUAAUCCCUUGCUGUUUUGACGUUACCAACAGAAUAAGCACCGGCUAACUUCGUG